This 111-nucleotide ribosomal RNA is filed under the name Castor canadensis (American beaver). Lineage: Eukaryota; Metazoa; Chordata; Mammalia; Rodentia; Castoridae. The record is from RNAcentral.
GUUUCUGGGCAUACCAUCCUUAAUGCACCCGAUCUCAUCUGAUCUUGGAAACUAAGCAAGGUUGGGCCUGCUUAGUACUUGGAUGGGAGAAGUGCACAAGUCAUAAUAGCU